CAUAUGUUAUCGUUGAGACAUACACCGGAAGAACAACAAGUUCGAAGGCGGAUCUUUCCCUGGCAGGAAAGUGGACAGAGCUUCGACGGAGCGCGGAAAAGACUUUGUGAUGGGGAAUUGGAAACGGAUAAUGUUCAGGGCUAACAGGACCCCAUAUAUCUGAUCCCCGACAUUUACGCAGCUUUUACGCGAUUUACCUGAUCUGGAACAUGAUGGGGGUUCGCAGGAGCAAAAGUCUGGCAGACAAUCACCAACGGCCUUUUUUCGUUCCGACAUACAGCCCUUUAUGAUAAAGGAUGCGUUAUGGCCAGCUGACACGCAGGACUUUGAUGCAAUUCUACCGGCCCAAGUACACUGCUCAGAAUCAAGCCCACCCGAAAACUACUGUUGGGCCGGGAACUUGCUGCUUCACGAGCCGGCGCUCCAGGGACAAGGUAUGGGACCAUUAUACAGUU
This is a long non-coding RNA of Oncorhynchus nerka (sockeye salmon), 455 nucleotides long. RefSeq lists it as uncharacterized. The record is from RefSeq and is a predicted model, not a curated record. NCBI's taxonomy places the organism in Eukaryota, Metazoa, Chordata, Actinopteri, Salmoniformes, Salmonidae. The transcript has 3 exons.